GACGAACGCUGGCGGCGUGCUUAACACAUGCCAGUCGAACGGAAAGGCCCUGCUUUUGUGGGGUGCUCGAGUGGCGAACGGGUGGGUAACACGUGAGUAACCUGCCCUUGACUUUGGGAUAACUUCAGGAAACUGGGGCUAAUACCGGAUAUGAGCUCCUGCUGCAUGGUGGGGGUUGGAAAGUUUCGGCGGUUGGGGAUGGACUCGCGGCUUAUCAGCUUGUUGGUGGGGUAGUGGCUUACCAAGGCGUUUACGGGUAGCCGGCCUGAGAGGGUGACCGGCCACAUUGGGACUGAGAUACGGCCCAGAAUCCUACGGGAGGCAGCAGUGGGGAAUAUUGCACAAUGGGCGGAAGCCUGAUGCAGCAACGCCGCGUGCGGGAUGACGGCCUUCGGGUUGUAAACCGCUUUCGCCUGUGACGAAGCGUGAGUGACGGUAAUGGGUAAAGAAGCACCGGCUAACUACGUG
This 468-nucleotide ribosomal RNA is filed under the name uncultured bacterium. RNAcentral describes it as "partial 16S ribosomal RNA". It matches the Rfam family "Bacterial small subunit ribosomal RNA", at positions 28 to 507 of the family's 1533-position model. The record is from RNAcentral.